GGUUCAAUCCUCAGUACCAAAGAAAAAAUAAAAGUGGUCUCUUUUGACUGAGUUAUUGUUUUGAAAAUGUUAUAUAGAUCUUCAAUAGGUCAAUAACCAUGGGUAAAUGGUUUUUAUAAAUUUCUCAAUUUGGGGACAAGAUUUUUUUUGUGGUCUAAAUUGUGGACUUAAGAUUAUUUUCUUUGUGUAUAUAUAUAUAUAUAUAUAUAUAUAUAUAUAUAUAUAUAUACAUACACAC
RNAcentral lists this long non-coding RNA (238 nucleotides) under Marmota monax (woodchuck). The record is from RNAcentral. Lineage: Eukaryota; Metazoa; Chordata; Mammalia; Rodentia; Sciuridae.